UACAGAGGGUGCAAGCGUUAAUCGGAAUUACUGGGCGUAAAGCGCGCGUAGGCGGCUUUGUAAGUUAGAGGUGAAAGCCCGGGGCUCAACCCCCGGAACUGCCUUUAAAAACUGCAUCGCUUGAAUCCGGGAGAGGUGAGUGGAAUUCCGAGUGUAGAGGUGAAAUUCGUAGAUAUUCGGAAGAACACCAGUGGCGAAGGCGGCUCACUGGACCGGCAUUGACGCUGAGGUGCGAAAGCGUGGGGAGCAAACAGG
Molecule: ribosomal RNA, 255 nt
Filed under: uncultured bacterium
Lineage: Bacteria
Description: partial 16S ribosomal RNA
Rfam family: Bacterial small subunit ribosomal RNA
Source: RNAcentral